CCCAUGUUUGUUUACUCUCAUUUUUGCUGUGACUUGUAAAGUGCCCUGAGUUAAGUCACUUUCCUUUUUUCUGUCCCAUCUAAAAAAAAAAAAAUGAUAACAUAUUUCUUGUAUCCUUAUAAGACAAACAAGUUGAUGUGAAUAAAAUAGCUGCUUCUAACAGUUUGUGAGCCCGGGUUAAAUGGUGGUGGGCUUUUUUUGGUUGUAACUGAUGCUCUGUCUUGUCUUACUCCAUUUUUCUUUUACAUUGCUCUCAGAUCUCUAUUUUAUGACCAAAGGAAGACAUGACAACUUGCUUGACUGACAGCUGCCAGAAUCAUUAUUUUAAGCCCCAAUUCUUACCAGCCCAAGGAGAGAAACUUUGUACACAUGCUUAGAUCCACCACGAAGAAAAGACUAUGGCAUUGACACUAGGGAAAUGGUUCUCUCUGAACUUAGACCAGCUCAAACUAGGAAAGAUAGAACCUGCAGAAAGAUUUGGCUCGCCCAGCUGAACAGGGGUCUUGUGUUUUUUUUCCUUCUGAGAUCUCUCAAAAUUGACUCCCAAUCUGCCCACCAUC
Long non-coding RNA from Orcinus orca (killer whale), 560 nucleotides. RefSeq lists it as uncharacterized. The transcript is spliced from 4 exons. The record is from RefSeq and is a predicted model, not a curated record. NCBI's taxonomy places the organism in Eukaryota, Metazoa, Chordata, Mammalia, Artiodactyla, Delphinidae.